UAUAAAAUAUUUCGUCUCUUCAAAUAAUGUGUUAAAACGGCUUCGUUUCGAGUGAGCGUCUUUCCCGUCCGUGCAGCCUGCAGGUGUGACGAUGGGAGACACCGUCGAGGAGAAGACCGCCGUAAUCCAAGCUCCAUAAUCCAAAGAGGGACUAAGAAGGGGUAUGAAGCUAUAGCAUUGCCUGAGCCUGCACCAAGGCAAUUACCUAAGAAUGAGGAUCCUAGUCUAGUUAAGAGAAACAGAAGAAUGCUGGGGAAUCUUCUAGGGACUUUGGAGAGGUUCAGAAAGGAAGAUAAACAGCUUUCUGGAACAGAUGCCUAUGCCCGACGGUCUGCUGUUCUACAGAAGGCUGAGCAAAAGGCUCGUGAAGAAAGUGAGCGACUAAGGAUGCAAGAGCGUGAAAAUAUGACUGAAAAGAGGAGAAGAGAUCUUACGCUUCGAGCCCGUGUUGCUGCUAAAGCAGAACAAAAGGAGUUGGAACUGCUAUUCCUUCGGUGGUGUGAGGAGAAGAAAAAACGAAGCAAUUUUAUAAGGUUAUUUUUUAUUUCGGUCCAAAGUGUGCAUAUUCACAAUUUAAUAGAAGCAAAGAUAAGUUUCCCUUCACGUGUAUGCACAUGUUGAUGGGCCAGCGAUAGGUAGAAAUUGCUAGCUGAUAUUAUAUGUUUCUGUUAACAUUCUUUGCAUUUGAUUUCAUAUGGACGGCUGUUUCAGGACUAAAGCAGAGCAACUGACGCGGACCAACGCAAAGAACAGACAUUCUUAGAAUGGAAGGCAGCCAAGAGACAAGAAGUGAGUGAGUAUCAAAAGGAGGUAGAAGAGCGAUAUCUAAGUAAUGUCGAGAAAGAGCUGGAAAGGUGGCAAAACGCAAGGAAGGCGAGGAAAGCAAACAACGAGGCUAUGAAUUUGCAGGAGACAAUGGAUAAGGAGUUAGAGACGCAUAGGAUGGAGCACGGGCUAAAGAAAAGGAAGAUACCUGGAGCUGGAGGAGAAGAUGAAGAAGAUGAAGUAGAGGAUAUCAGUGGUGGGGAGGAUGAUAUAACAAUAGAUGAUUUACUGCAAGAGGGAGGAGAUGGAAACGUCAAGGAAGUGGCCACUGAUACUGCAGAAGCAGUGGAAGGCGACAUUACACUUUAAGUUGUCAAAGAUGUUAGUGUGUUUGUUCUUGAUGCUUGUGUUACUUAUAGUGCACCUUAUUAUGCGGGAGUUUACGAGUUAGAAAACGACUGAGAAAAUCUAUUUCAGAGGGGUGUUAGCUGGGGAAACUGGAAAAAUCUAUGCUGGAGUGUGUUAUUGAAUGAAGGAUUUUGCCUUGUGCUA
This is an RNA transcript of Brassica napus (rape), 1317 nucleotides long. RefSeq lists it as uncharacterized. The transcript is spliced from 7 exons. The record is from RefSeq and is a predicted model, not a curated record. Lineage: Eukaryota; Viridiplantae; Streptophyta; Magnoliopsida; Brassicales; Brassicaceae.